Molecule: ribosomal RNA, 999 nt
Filed under: uncultured bacterium
Lineage: Bacteria
Description: bacterial SSU rRNA
Rfam family: Bacterial small subunit ribosomal RNA
Source: RNAcentral
UGCAGUCGAACGCGGUGGCCCAUCUGAUUGGACGUGCUUGCCGAACUUGACGUUGGUUUACCRGCGAGUGGCGGACGGGUGARUAACACGUAUGUAACCUGCCCCAAAGCGGGGGAUAACAUUUGGAAACAGAUGCUAAUACCGCAUAACAAKUUGAAUCUYAUGAUUCAMUAUUAAAAGAUGGCUUCGGCUAUCACUUUGGGAUGGACCUGCGGCGCAUUAGCUUGUUGGUAGGGUAACGGCCUACCAAGGCUGUGAUGCGUAGCCGAGUUGAGAGACUGAUCGGCCACAAUGGAACUGAGACACGGUCCAUACUCCUACGGGAGGCAGCAGUAGGGAAUCUUCCACAAUGGGCGCAAGCCUGAUGGAGCAACACCGCGUGAGUGAAGAAGGGUUUCGGCUCGUAAAGCUCUGUUGUUAGAGAAGAACGUGCGUGAGAGUAACUGUUCACGCAGUGACGGUAUCUAACCAGAAAGUCACGGCUAACUACGUGCCAGCAGCCGCGGUAAUACGUAGGUGGCAAGCGUUAUCCGGAUUUAUUGGGCGUAAAGCGAGCGCAGGCGGUUUGAUAAGUCUGAUGUGAAAGCCUUUGGCUUGACCAAAGAAGUGCAUCGGAAACUGUCAGACUUGAGUGCAGAAGAGGACAGUGGAACUCCAUGUGUAGCGGUGGAAUGCGUAGAUAUAUGGAAGAACACCAGUGGCGAAGGCGGCUGUCUGGUCUGCAACUGACGCUGAGGCUCGAAAGCAUGGGUAGCGAACAGGAUUAGAUACCCUGGUAGUCCAUGCCGUAAACGAUGAGUGCUAGGUUGUUGGGAGGGCUUCCGCCCUUCAGUGCCGCAGCUAACGCAUUAAGCACUCCGCCUGGGGAGUACGACCGCAAGGUUGAAACUCAAAGGAAUUGACGGGGGCCCGCACAAGCGGUGGAGCAUGUGGUUUAAUUCGAAGCUACGCGAAGAACCUUACCAGGUCUUGACAUCUUGCGCCAACCCUAGAGAUAGG